This 214-nucleotide ribosomal RNA is filed under the name uncultured bacterium. RNAcentral's name for it is "partial 16S ribosomal RNA". It matches the Rfam family "Bacterial small subunit ribosomal RNA", at positions 524 to 736 of the family's 1533-position model. The record is from RNAcentral.
UACGGAGGGUGCAAGCGUUAUCCGGAUUCACUGGGUUUAAAGGGUGCGUAGGCGGAUUAGAAAGUCCGUUGUGAAAUCUCUGAGCUUAACUCGGAAAUUGCGGUGGAUACUAUUAGUCUUGAAUACUGUGGAGGUUAGCGGAAUAUGUCAUGUAGCGGUGAAAUGCAUAGAUAUGACAUAGAACACCAAUUGCGAAGGCAGCUGCGCUACACAG